GCCCGGAUGGCGGAACUGGCAGACGCAGGGGGCUUAAACCCCCCGGGUGGCAACACCUUGUGGGUUCGAUUCCCACUCCGGGCA
Molecule: transfer RNA, 84 nt
Filed under: Actinomycetota bacterium
Lineage: Bacteria; Bacillati; Actinomycetota
Description: Actinobacteria bacterium (freshwater metagenome) tRNA-Leu
Rfam family: tRNA
About the family: Transfer RNA (tRNA) molecules are approximately 80 nucleotides in length. Their secondary structure includes four short double-helical elements and three loops (D, anti-codon, and T loops).
Source: RNAcentral